RNAcentral lists this ribosomal RNA (360 nucleotides) under uncultured bacterium. RNAcentral's name for it is "partial 16S ribosomal RNA". It matches the Rfam family "Bacterial small subunit ribosomal RNA", at positions 338 to 697 of the family's 1533-position model. The record is from RNAcentral.
CCUACGGGCGGCAGCAGUGAGGAAUUUUGGUCAAUGGGCGAGACCCUGAACCAGCCAAGUCGCGUGAGGGAGUACUUCCCUAUUGGUUGUACACCUCUUUUGUCGGGGAGCAAAAGCAGGACGUGUCCGGCUGUGAGAGUACCCGAAGAAAAAGCAUCGGCUAACUCCGUGCCAGCAGCCGCGGUAAUACGGAGGAUGCGAGCGUUAUCCGGAUUUAUUGGGUGUAAAGGGUGCGCAGGUGGAUUUUUAAGUCAGCGGUCAAAACGUUGGGCUCAACCCCAUACAGCCAUUGAUACUGGGGAGCUAGAGUGUGACAGAGGUAUGCGGAACGCGUGGUGUAGCGGUAAAAUGCAUAGAUAU